CAGCCAAGGAUGACUUGCCUA
Molecule: microRNA, 21 nt
Filed under: Pinus densata
Lineage: Eukaryota; Viridiplantae; Streptophyta; Pinopsida; Pinales; Pinaceae
Source: RNAcentral